GUCCAAGCCCAAUAGGGCUGACCCGGCCCAAGGCGGCUGUUAAGGGGAUAACCCCCUUUAUCCUUAUCAUUUUCCAAGCCAAAUGAUCCCUAACCCUUCCCUCUUCCCUUCCCCUUACCCCAUACGCUAACCUUAGCGCCGCCAGGCUUUGUGCCUUCUCUCUCAUGCCAGAAAUGGAAAAGUUGCAGAGAGUAAAAGGCUUUGCAGCCUUCGUACACCCUUUUCGCGUGAUAACAUUAAUGAUCCAACCUCGUUUUCAUCUCCUUCCUUCCAAACACGGUAUAAUCCCUUAGUUAUUUUUUUUUCCUUCUUUUUCGCUGAGUUGGAGGGUGGAAGCACAAAGAGCUUUUGAAUCCAUUCUUGACCAAAGGCUGCAUUGAAAAAAGGUAAUACCCCAACCCUUUUAUAUAUUUUUGUCAUUCUAUUUAUAAGUUGAUAAUUGAUCUGUGUUAUUAAGUGUUCUUGAUUGAUAGAUGGUCUUAUAGUAGGAUUUUUUUUACUUAAGCACUGUUUAAUAAGCUUCAGAAUGAGCCCCAUCCUAAGCAUGGUGCCUUGUUUAUCUUAUGUACUUAAUCUAGUCUUUCAUUAUCUGUUUGAGUUGGAUGUUCUAAAUGAGUGUUAAUCCUUUGCAAGAAUGUUUGAGAUUGCUGGAAACUUGAAAUGAUUUAUAUUGGAAUGACUUUGAGGCUUGAUAAAGGACAACAGUUCACUAUUAAAAUAUAUAUUAAAAUAAGAGGUGCUUAGUUUAAUUAGGGAACACAUAGGGUGUUGUUAGGCUAUUGGAAUACUAAUUUGGUUUGUAUGACUCUUUGGUAAGACUUCUUUGUGUUAGGAAGUCCAUAUGACAUGUUUAUAGGGUCAUCAUUGGAUUACUUGCAUCAUAAUGUGAUAACACCUAUCUCCAAAAGGGAUUCAUGACUUAAGUACCUUUCUAGCUGUGUCUAAGGACUUCUGUUUUGCAUUAUUGAACAUGUCCAGAAUUGUCAUUAGUUGAUUUGUGAUGUUCUUCUUUUUAAAGUAAGGCCCUUCUAUCUGUAUCCUACCAUGCUUAAGUGAGAAUCACCUUAAAGCUGUGCCUUAAGAAUCUGGGUGCAAAUGUGUUAUGCCUUCCAUGGUUGAUGCUGCAUUGCUAUACAAAUGCCAUAAUUUGACUCUCUAUGUGAUUUGUUCCUAUUCCUUAUUGGUUUGUUGAAAUCUAUAGUGUGUAGUAACUGUUUUGACUUUAGUAAAUAUGGUUAAAAAGGGGGGGGGGGGGGGGGGGGGGAUUAGGGAUACGGGCGGAUUAAGAAUGCAGUAUUUCAUUAAAUGAGAAAGCCUUAUGUUCUUUCUUAGAUUAGUCUGGCUUAUUGUUUCAUGAUAAGAGCAAGUCAACUUAAAACAAGAUUUACAGUUUAUAUAUGCUUUGUUGGAAACUAAUUUGCUUGAGAUUCUUACCUGAUUAUGACCUCUGGAUUAAGCUUGACUAAUGAAAAUAACCCCGACUUGUUGUUGACUAUGUAAGUUCUGAAUUAAGAAAUACUGAGUGGACCUAGCCUUAAUAGCUAGCUAAUCAUUAUUAAGUUAGAUGUUUGAAUACUGAUCAGGGAUAGAACCACACUGAGAAUAAGUCUAUAAAGGCACUAAACCAAGAUUGUCAGAGGGAAAAGGGGGUUAGGCUAAUGAUGAACCCUUAGUUUGGUAAAGUGGCAUUGCUCUGCAAGUCUAAUGUAUUUUCAGUGAUAAAACAUGACUAGGUAAAAAGGAAGGAGGAUAAAACUGCCUAGACUAGCUUGAACCUUGUGUAUAUUCAUUAGAAGAACUCUGUCUAGAGACUAGGUUGGCAAGGGAUUUGAAUCAAUUUUUUUGCUAAGAAAUUAGUCCCUUUAGAACUUGAGUAGGAAUCUAAAAUGCUUGCUAUGUGACCUGUUUAUGAAGAUGCCAUAUUUUUCUUUGCACCUGCAUGACAGUUCAGGGAUUUAUUUCACUUGCCAGUUGAGUCUGUCUUCCCUCUUUCCUUUUCUUCCUUUCCUGUGAAUGUUGUUGUGUCAAAAGAUUAAAGGUUUGGUCUUGCUUAAGUAAUAAAGGAUCUUUACUGAGAUGAGGGUUGGAUCAUGGCCAUUUAGUUAUUUGUUUUGCUUGAAUUCCCUUUGUGUUCUGUUUAGAGGUGCUGAAUGUUUAAAAGAAAGUGAUCAUGCCAUAUCCAAGAUCAAAAUUGCCUAUCUAGUCUGUACUGUUGAAUCAUGAGAUUUCCUACAUGAGUUCUAUUGGAACAUAACUGGCUAAAAAGAUUUAAAAAAAAAAGAAAAGGGAAAUCUGCCUACUGUCACUACUUGAAUCAUUUGUGUUUGGGCUUAAUCUCUAAUACUCUGUCCAGAUAUCCUAGUUACCAUCAUUUACUUGGUUGCCUCAUACACAUUUUCUAUGAUUUGGCUAGAUGAAGUUUGUAAUAUGGCAUAACUUGAUGAAUUCCUAGAUUGGUUUAUGAUGGUUCUGUGAAGAAGGUUAAAGAACUUGUUGAUGACACCUUGACUUAUGCUGUGGUUCUGUAUGGAUUUUCCUAGCUUCUAGUGGUGAAAAUGAUCCUAAUCCUAGCCUAAAUGAUCCUGUCCAUUCCUAUGUCCAUGCAUUUGAGCUUGUUAGGGCAUUUAGUUGUAAGUGACUCCUGGUAGCAAUACUCUUUAUGAUUAGAGAAAGGUUGAAGGUAAGCUAAAAAUCACAUGGCCAGGAAGAGUCUUUUUAAAAGGUGCCUUGAGAGGGGAUCUAGGGGGGUGAUCAAGCACUGUAUGACUCACCACACUUUCCCUUCAUAUAAAAGGCACCAUUGCACUUUCAUAAGCCCAUGGUGGUGCAUGCUAACUAUACAAAUCUUUCAAAAGAUCAUGAGAAUUUUGUUGAUAGAACCUAGAAGACUUGGCUAAAAUCAGACAUGCAUUGAUAAGUGGCUUAGUGAAACCUAGUUAUGAACCUAGGUGCACAUGUACAUGACUGAACUAGAACACCAAAGGAAAAGCUUAUAGGGAAACAAAAAAUUUGAAUAGGUAAAGCAUUGAAACUGAAACUGAGUUCUAAGAAACUGUCAAGAUCAUGUAAGUCCUUCCUCUUUCAAGAAACUCCACCAAAGAGACAUGAAUGAUUUUAUACAUCCUUUCUAUGCUAUGUGUGCAGCCUGCGUACUUUUACUUGAUGUUUUCACCCAGUUAAGUCUAUCUGGGACCUAAAAAUCCACCUACCUACUAUGUUUAUGUGUUUAGCUUGACUGAAAUUAGUUUCCUUUCUCAUGUUAUAUCUGUCAGCUCAGUCUACACCUGGCCUUUGCAAAUGUGAGUUGGAAUAUACUUUCCUUUUACUAGGGCCUAUUUGCUUCCCUUUAGAUGUGCAGUUUGUGUCUAUGAAUGAGUUCUAUAUUGGAAUCUAUCUAUGGUUGCACAUCUUCAUAAAGAGAUUGAUAAGCUUAUUUUGCAUAGACCACUCCUGGCUUAAAAUAAUGCAUAGUAUGAUGGAUAUAUUCCCGUUCCUUGUUGUAAUUAAGUAGUAGUAAUGAUGUACAGUGAAAUAUUAUCCUUUGUUUCUUAGGAGUUAUGUUUUGCAUUUUCUUCUGUGUCCUGGGUUGAAGGCUAGACUGUUCAAUGAUAUUUGGUUCUAAUUGUGCACUUGUGUUUGAUUGUGGUAAUGUUGAGGAUCAUUUGGGGUUGGUCAAACCUUCCCCCAGUGGCAACCAUGUCUGGGGUUCAAUGAAACCCCUUAAAUCUUGUGCGACAACGGGAAUAAGGAUGGUGGCAACCACCCUAAUCUCAUUCCAAAAUACUCAGCCCACACAUCAUUAAAAUGCACUAUGAGAGAAAAAUAUCAUGUUAGGGCAGUUUGGCUACUUCUAUUUUUAAUAAUAUUACUAUUCGUGUAUAUCUUCUAUAUAUAUUAUGUGAAUUUUAUAGGAUCCAGUCUGACCAAACUCUUUUUCUUUUUUCCCCCAUUUCCCUCUCUUACUCUUCGCAUGGCCACUUGGGCCGAGGACCCAACCUCCCUAUUGUGCCAGGACAAUUCUUUCAGAUUUCUAUAGAGUCUGAGGAAGGGAAGCUAAUAUGUGUAUCCAUGAAGGCCUAAUCAUGGGUGAAAAUGGUUAAGGGGCUUGGUACACCCCAAGUUAUUUCAUUAUUAUUAUAUGAUACAUUUACAUUUAUACUUAUAUUUGUAAACUCACAUUACUAUUGGAAACCAAAUGGUUGGAACUAGAAGUUUUAGGCAAACGGUACUUAAGCCGUUUAGUUGGACUUUAGGCUC
Lycium ferocissimum is the source of this 4257-nucleotide long non-coding RNA. RefSeq lists it as uncharacterized. The record is from RefSeq and is a predicted model, not a curated record. NCBI's taxonomy places the organism in Eukaryota, Viridiplantae, Streptophyta, Magnoliopsida, Solanales, Solanaceae. The transcript has 2 exons.